GGUAACGGGCGGUUACGGUCGGACUGCCGGAGAAGGCGCCUGAGAGAUAGCGACUAUAUCCACGGGUAGCAGCAGGCGCGAAACUUUCCCACUCGAGACUUUCGGAGGAGGUAAUGACCAGUUCCAUUGGUGCCUUUUGGUACUGUGGAUAGGGGUACGGUUUUCCACCGUACCGAAACCUAGCAGAGGGCCAGUCUGGUGCCAGCAGCUGCGGUAAUUCCAGCUCUGCGAGUUUGCUCCCAUAUUGUUGCAGUUAAAACGCCCGUAGUCUGAAUUGGCCAGCAAUGGUCGUACGUAUUUUUACGUUCACUGUGAACAAAUCAGGACGCUUAGAGUAUGGCCACAUGAAUGACUCAGCGCAGUAUGAAGUCUUUGUUUUCUUCCGAAAACAAGCUCAAUGAGAGCCAUCGGGGGUAGAUCUAUCUCAUGACGAGUGGUGGAAUACUUUGACUCAUGAGAGAGAAGCUGAGGCGAAGGCGUCUACCUAGAGGGUUUCUGUCGAUCAAGGGCGAGAGUAGGAGUAUCCAACAGGAUUAGAGACCCUGGUAGUUCCUACCUUAAACGAUGCCGACAGGAGUUUGUCAUUUGUUAAUGGCAGAAUCUUUGGAGAAAUCAUAGUUCUUGGGCUCUGGGGGAACUACGACCGCAAGGCUGAAACUUGAAGGAAUUGACGGAAGGGCACACCAGGGGUGGAGCCUGUGGCUUAAUUUGAAUCAACACGGGGAAACUUACCAGGACCAGAUGUUUUUUAUGACUGACAGGCUUCGGGUCUUUCAGGAUAUUGUUUUUGGUGGUGCAUGGCCGUUGGUGGUGCGUGGGUUGACCUGUCUAGCGUUGAUUCAGCUAACGAGCGAGAUUAUCGCCAAUUAUUUACUUUGCCGAAGUCCUUCGGUUAAAGUUCUAAUUGGGACUCCCUGCGAUUUUAGCAGGUGGAAGAGGGUAGCAAUAACAGG
Molecule: non-coding RNA, 953 nt
Filed under: Trichomonas vaginalis G3
Lineage: Eukaryota; Parabasalia; Trichomonadida; Trichomonadidae
Description: Eukaryotic small subunit ribosomal RNA
Rfam family: Eukaryotic small subunit ribosomal RNA
Source: Rfam by way of RNAcentral